GCUGGCGUAGCUCAAUGGCAGAGCACUGGUUUUGUAAACCAGAUGUUGUGGGUUCAAGUCCCACCGCUAGCU
Molecule: transfer RNA, 72 nt
Filed under: Planctomycetota bacterium
Lineage: Bacteria; Pseudomonadati; Planctomycetota
Also listed under: 1 other name
Description: Planctomycetes bacterium tRNA-Thr
Rfam family: tRNA
About the family: Transfer RNA (tRNA) molecules are approximately 80 nucleotides in length. Their secondary structure includes four short double-helical elements and three loops (D, anti-codon, and T loops).
Source: RNAcentral